UACGUAGGGUGCAAGCGUUGUCCGGAAUUAUUGGGCGUAAAGGGCUCGUAGGCGGUCCAUCACGUCGGGAGUGAAAAGCUGGGGCUUAACCCCAGUCCUGCUUCCGAUACGGGUGGACUAGAGGUAGGCAGGGGAGAACGGAAUUCCUGGUGUAGCGGUGAAAUGCGCAGAUAUCAGUAAGAACACCCGUGGCGAAGGCGGCUCUCUGGGACGGUACUGACGCUGAGACGCGAAAGCGUGGGGAGCGAACAGG
Molecule: ribosomal RNA, 253 nt
Filed under: uncultured bacterium
Lineage: Bacteria
Description: partial 16S ribosomal RNA
Rfam family: Bacterial small subunit ribosomal RNA
Source: RNAcentral